GUUCUAUUUACUUCACCAGCACAUAUCCUAAAAUUGAAAUAAUUCAGAGAUUAACAUGGCCCCUAUGCAAGGAAGACACAAAUUUGAUGGGGGAUGUCAUUCUGUAU
Molecule: small nuclear RNA, 107 nt
Organism: Mesocricetus auratus (golden hamster)
Lineage: Eukaryota; Metazoa; Chordata; Mammalia; Rodentia; Cricetidae
Source: Ensembl